UUCUUUUUUUAUUUGCAAGUGAGGGUGUGAGGUGGCGUUCAAAGGUUGUCAAGGGGUUGUGAGGAGCUAUAGGGCUCAAGUUCGAGGUUGAAGAUUAGAAACCGAAGGUUGAAGAUCAGAUUUGGGAUUAGAUGAGUCGCUGGUACAACUGACGUCGUCGUGGUGUAGGUCAGAUGAGUCGCUGGAGUCCAGGCCAAGUAACAGUGUCGCUGGAGUUUCGGGAAGCUAACGAUGUCAUCAAUUCGAGUGCAGGUGAUGUGCCGAUUAUUGAUUUUGGAUCAAUUACUAACUGUUUGCCAUUUUCUUUCUAGAAAAUCAAUGUAGUGUCUGCUUCUUAAUCUUGUUCUCUAUGAGUACCAUUGUUACCGUCUCUGGUAAAAACAUCUAACCAUAUGCCAGAUUCGUUGAUUCAGGCUACAAAAGUACCUGUUAAAGAGUAUGAGUUUGAUGAAAAGAAGAUGGCAAAUGUGCAGUCUCAUCUGGAAAAAUUGGUUGCCAAUAACUAUUACUUGAACAGGUCUCCAAAAGAUGCGUACAGAUAAAUAUAUUAUUCAUGAAGUGAAGGCAAGAAUAGUUGAAUGGUAUAUGAUUAUGAACAGGGGCAAAUGCGUAAAACAAAUUAUGAUUCUUUUUAUUAUGGAUGGUGCACAGGACAAGGGCAGGCUGGUCAAGACUGGAAGCUUUACACAUUCAUAUCCAUUUUGUUGAAGAUCUGAUACCCCUCUUAUCUACAGAGCAGUUCCCAUGAUGAGCAGUUGCUUGAAGCAGCUUGGUGUCUUACAAACAUAGCUGCUGGAAAACCUAAAGAAACAAGAGCUUAAUUGCCUGCAUUACCUUUACUCAUUGCUCAAAUUGGAGAGUUCAGUGCCUGUUGCAGAGCAGUGUGCAUAAGCAUUAGGAAAUGUUGCAGGAGAAGGUGAAGAACCGAGACAAAUUCUGAUUUCUCAAGGGGCAUUACUUCCUCUUGCAAAAAUGAUGUUGCCAAAUAAAGUUUCAGUUAACGGGUGAACCAAGUUUCUCUGAAAUGGCGACAGCAUUGUCAGGGCCUCCUUAUAUCUUUGUUUCUACUCCAGCUUGUGUCCAAAGAUGUCUUUCAUCAGGUGUUCUUCAAGCAAAAUCCGUUCAUGAUUAUCUUUCAAUUAUUAUUCUUGAUAAGGUAUGGAUUCUUUUCUUUCUGUAACAUUUAUAAUACUCUUUAUUAAAGUACUGAUUCAUGUUAGUAAAUCAGGCAGAUCUUCUUUUUACAUAUGGAUAUGAAAAGAAUCUCAAAGAUCUCAAAACUCACAUUCCUAAAAGAUGUCAAUGCCUUCUCAUGGCUGCUACCUCAAGCUUGAAGAAGCUUUAUCUACACAAUCCCUAUAUUCUUACUUUAGCAGAAGUUGGUGAUGGAAAGGACGAAAUUGUCCCCAAAAAUGUUCAGCAAUUUUGGUUUGGUAUAAAAUCUGCUGUGUUAAAUGCUGAAUUGCCUGUGAAUUGACGUCUACAUAUUCUUGAGGGUUUUGGUUCUUAAAUGAAUAAAGAAAACAAAUUUCUUGGGCGGGAAAGAAGCAGACAUACUUGCUGGUAAGAUGAGUAUGGUACAGUUGCAAGGGCGGGACCAGUUGCUGACAGCACAAAAUGAAAUGCUCAAGGUACUCUACUCUACUGCUUCAUCAUAUAUGUCUGCAAGUUUGGUUGGCAGUUUCCCUUAUUACAGAUGCGUUGGCUGCAUCUGGUCAGGCGUUGAUUGCUAGUUCGGUUUCAAAAGGGAAUUAUAGAUCUGUGAAGGAUAUCACAUACUUCGUGUUGACUAUUGGUUUUGUGAUGGGUGUUACUUUGGCUGCAAUAUUGGGAGUUUCAUUUGGUUCCAUAGUCACACUGUUCACUAAGGACAUUGGAGUAUUGGCGAUUGCUAGAACCGGGGUUUUGUUUGUGAGUGCUAGUCAGCCUUUGAAUGCUUUUGCUUUUAUUGUUGAUGGUUUGCAUUAUGGAGUUUCAGACUUCCCGUAUGCUGCUUAUUCCAUGGUAUGCUUUUUUUUAGACAUGAAUAUAAAAUUACAUAUUUGCCCUUGGAUUAAUAUGUUUUCACUGUAGAUGCUUGUUGGGAUUUUAUCGUCUGUAAUUGCAACUUGUUAUGAGAUGGCCAAAACCAUUGCAUUUUGCAAUAGUUGAUGAACUUGAUUAUGUCCUAAUUGAUGAGGGAAGAAACCCAUUGCUGAUAAGGGGUGAGGCUAGCAAGGAUGCUGCACGUAACACAGUUGCUGCUAAAGUAGCUGAGCUUCUCAUGCGUGGCCUCGUAUUUUACUUUUUUGCCCUUCUUUUUCCUUUUUGAUGUCUUGUUAUCCAUCUCCAUUGUAUGCGUAUCUCAUUGUUUGUUCCACUACACAUCAUGUAAA
This is a non-coding RNA of Lactuca sativa (garden lettuce), 2375 nucleotides long. Lineage: Eukaryota; Viridiplantae; Streptophyta; Magnoliopsida; Asterales; Asteraceae. The record is from RefSeq and is a predicted model, not a curated record.